RNAcentral lists this ribosomal RNA (799 nucleotides) under uncultured Rhizophagus. RNAcentral describes it as "SSU rRNA". It matches the Rfam family "Eukaryotic small subunit ribosomal RNA", at positions 314 to 1114 of the family's 1831-position model. Lineage: Eukaryota; Fungi; Glomeromycota; Glomeromycetes; Glomerales; Glomeraceae. The record is from RNAcentral.
AUCAACUUUCGAUGGUAGGAUAGAGGCCUACCAUGGUGGUAACGGGUAACGGGGUGUUAGGGCACGACACCGGAGAGGGAGCCUGAGAAACGGCUACCACAUCCAAGGAUGGCAGCAGGCGCGCAAAUUACCCAAUCCCGACACGGGGAGGUAGUGACAAUAAAUAACAAUACGGGGUUCUUUCGGAUUUCGUAAUUGGAAUGAGUACAAUUUAAAUCUCUUAACGAGGAACAAUUGGAGGGCAAGUCUGGUGCCAGCAGCCGCGGUAAUUCCAGCUCCAAUAGCGUAUAUUAAAGUUGUUGCAGUUAAGAAGCUCGUAGUUGAAUUUCGGGGUCAGUAGAUUGGUCGUGCCACUGGUAUGUACUGGUCUUACUGGCUCCUCCUUCCUGAUGAACCGUAAUGCCAUUAAUUUGGUGUUGCGGGGAGACUGGACUGUUACUUUGAAAAAAUUAGAGUGUUUAAAGCAGGCUAACGCUUGAAUACAUUAGCAUGGAAUAAUGAAAUAGGACGUUCGAUCUUAUUUUGUUGGUUUCUAAGAUUGACGUAAUGAUUAAUAGGGAUAGUUGGGGGCAUUAGUAUUCAAUUGUCAGAGGUAAAAUUCUUGGAUUUAUUGAAGACUAACUACUGCGAAAGCAUUUGCCAAGGAUGUUUUCAUUAAUCAAGAACGAAAGUUAGGGGAUCGAAGACGAUCAGAUACCGUCGUAGUCUUAACCAUAAACUAUGCCGACUAGGGAUCGGAUGAUGUUAAUUUUUUAAUGACUCAUUCGGCGCCUUACGGGAAACCAAAGUGUUUGGGUUC